Molecule: long non-coding RNA, 231 nt
Filed under: Ananas comosus (pineapple)
Lineage: Eukaryota; Viridiplantae; Streptophyta; Magnoliopsida; Poales; Bromeliaceae
Description: long non-coding RNA (ACOM_LNC030174)
Source: RNAcentral
UUAAACAGCUGGUGAAGGAUUGGGAUUCCCUGCUCUCUACUUGACCUCUCUACUUGCUGCUUUUUUUUUUUCCUUUUUCUUUUUUUCUUUUUUUUAGGGGCCCUAGUUGCCCCACUCUUGUAGCCUAGUUCAUCUAUUCAAUGAAUGAAGCGGGUAGCGUGCCACCUUUUUCUCAAAAAAAAAAACAAAAAAACAAUGGAACAAGUUUACUACUGAUAGUACACCUUCUCA